RNAcentral lists this long non-coding RNA (1360 nucleotides) under Mus caroli (Ryukyu mouse). RNAcentral describes it as "lncRNA (MGP_CAROLIEiJ_G0003252.1)". Lineage: Eukaryota; Metazoa; Chordata; Mammalia; Rodentia; Muridae. The record is from RNAcentral.
AGAGGAAGCAGCGGCCCUCAGCUAGCCCAGAGGUGUCAGCUUCUCUUCUCACCAAAGCAGCUGCACCGCACCUGACGUCAGGCGCUGCCAAAGGGCCUGGGCUUCCUGUGAGCUAGACUCCCAGUCGCCUUUCUCACUAAAGAGAAGAGUGGGCUUGCCUCUCCUCAGCUCAUGACCCACUCAAAGGCAGCCAGCCUGAGCUCCUGAUGCUGGCAACAUUUGGAUCAUCCUAAGCGUUUGCUAAGUGCCAUCAACACACUGACUUAAGUGGUAGAGGGAUGAGAGCCUGGUGUGGGCUGUGGGGAUGGAGGAGGAGGCGAGCAAGAGGAGAAAGCAGAUGGAGAGGUGUGAGAAGACAAGACCGAAUGGAAACCAGGCACUGGGACUAGACUUUGGUUUCUCCAGCCCUUACUGCACUGUCUGCUCCGUGGGUCUAACCACUCAUCUAAUGACAUCUUCAGCUCUGUCCCUGGCUCUACACUUCGCUGGAACCAACCCACACAAUUAAGCCAUUAUUUUCUACCAUUGCCCAUGGGACAGAAUCCAGAAGGCUUUGUCUAGCCAGGGCUGGCUUUCCACGACUGUGCCUUCCAUCCAGACCAGCUUUAUUUUCCAUUGCUUUACGGGGGGGGGGGGCGGGGGGGGAUCGACUGUACCCAGCCUGGCUUGUCCUUCCCACCACUCCCUUCUGCACAGUUGUACACAGUCAUUUAGCAAAAGACCACCCUGUGGUUCCUGCCUUGUACCAAUCUUGAGCAACAAUGAAGCUACCUGGAUUCCACAGAGGAGAACUCAAGUCUCAGAAGACACGGGUUCCUCCUCAGCUGGAAGAAUCCUGGGCCAGAGAGCUCUAGUCUCAGCUCAGGACCUGUUUAUUUCACCGGUUAAGGUCAUCCCAGUCUCCCUCACUGAAGUGAAAGCACACGGGAACAUGGGCCAUCCUCACUUCCUAUAUUUGGCAAACAAUGAGCACAUUAGUGUCUUAAUCUAUGCAGGCUGCUAAGACAGUACGCCAUAGACCUGUGGACUCUAAGCAACAGAAAUGUAUUGCCCAGAGGAGGCAGGGAAGUUCCAGAUCAGAAUGCUCACAGGUUAUGUCUCCUGAAGGCCCAUCACUUGACCUACAGAAAUCCAUCCUCUUUCUUGUCCUUAUGGCAGAAGACUGAGGGAGCUCUCUGGGAGUUUCUUAUGAGAGCAUCGACCCAUGAACGUUUCACCCUAUUAUCUGAUCAUCACUCAGAGGCCUGCCUCCUGAUGCUACCAUAUUUGGAGUCAGGCUCAACACUCGAAUUCUGAGGCACACAGUCUACUACAGAUGGGUUAUAACUACUCUACAUAAAAAAUUUAAAAAAGCACUAGG